AUGUUAAGUUACAGACUGAUCUGGAGGUGUAGGCAGAGGUGUACGGUUGACCCACAUUCAUCUAGUUUCCUGAACUGUGAAAGGUUGUUUUUUUCAUCUAUCUCUGCCUCACAACCUAAAGCAACAAUGGGAAGGAGAAGCAACUCUACAAGCGUCGGUGCAAGCACAGAGCAGCCAUUGAGGAAGUCUCAACGGUUGAUGACUAAGGAUACGCAGCCAGAAGAGAAGCCAGAAAAACCAGAAAAGACGAAGGUACCUCCCAAGGUCAAAAAGGGAGUCAAAGCAGCAAAGCCCAAGCCAGAGGAGAAGAAGGAAGAGCCCGAGGUUGAGGAGGAGGAGGAAGAAGAAGAUGAUGCUCCUGCAGAGAACGGCGAGGCAAAAGCUGAGAAGAAGAAGGCUGCAGUAGCAGAUAAAGCCGAGGACGCAGAAGAGGCGGAGGACAAGGAUGACAAGGCUGAGGAGGACGAAGACGACGACGAUGAUAAAGAAUAGUGACACACGUAGACUAGCUUGCCAGAGCCCCCUGUACCUCGUUUCUUGUACAAUGCAGAGACUAUUUUUAUCUACUAUUUUCAUAAGACUGUAAUGUUUUUAGGCACACGAUUGCAGAAAUGCAUUUUAAAAAAUACUACAAUUUCCAUUCAGUUUCAUGGCUUCUCACCCAGUGUUUCAUUGUUUGUUUUUUCCCAUUGUACUUGUUUGUUCUCUCGUCUCUCUGGCUUCUUAUUUUGCCUUUUUUUUUUUUUAGGUUGUAGUUUUCUGCGUGACAUGAAGUCAUGCCUAUAUCAGGAAUUUGAUGUUCAACUCCGGGAGAGUUUACCUGAGACAUUCCCGAGGCGUCUUGAGGGAUUUUGUAACCUGUACUGUUUUGGAAUUAAAUGCAUCAUAAUGUGUUUGAUAGGGAAUAGAAAGUUGUGAUCUAUGCUAAGACUUGUUCAUAACGUUGACUUUAAUCAUGUUCACUAGUACUGGACUUGGUUGUUUUUUUGUUUAAUGCUGUCAGUGAUGGUACAUUUGAGGAUGGUUAGACGAAUCCAUUCUCGGCUGUGCUCAAAACAAAAUGCAUUACAGAGCUAAUCAUUCUUCAUAGUUUAUCCUUUUUAGGAUUACUGUAUUUCACCUCAGUCAACAAAAUAUAUACGCCACCUAUUAGGUGGAUAUAUCCAUUGUGGUUUUUGGGAUUUCUCUACCAAUGUACAGUUUCCUCUUCUUUUUUUAAAAAAAGGACAAAAAUAGAAAAAGACAUUUUCUUUGUUAUGAAUGGUAUGAAAUGCCAAAUAAAGUGGGAGUUCCUCUGAAAUGUUUCAUCAAUUUUGUAUCGAAUUUCAUCCUGUGUACAGUCAUUGUAUUAAAAUAACUUAUCAGAUGCUUUCCUUUUAUUACCUGAAACUAAUUAUUUCUAUUUCUAGAGGUCGGUAAAGGUGUAUACUCUAUAAACACUCAAUGCUAAUUUAUUCAUUUUUCAGUGUACUCCAAAAAUAACUAGUGUAACCUGUUGCAUAUUAGGUCAAUAUGUGAAUACAAUAUGUUUUAAUAUGAACUUUGAUUUACUAAAUGCCAAUGAUUAGUUCAUAUAAAUAUGGUUUUACUGGUAUUUG
Molecule: long non-coding RNA, 1598 nt
Organism: Cottoperca gobio
Lineage: Eukaryota; Metazoa; Chordata; Actinopteri; Perciformes; Bovichtidae
Product: nucleolin-like
Source: Ensembl